UACGUAGGGCGCAAGCGUUGUCCGGAAUUAUUGGGCGUAAAGAGCUCGUAGGCGGCUUGUCACGUCGAUUGUGAAAGCCCGAGGCUUAACCUCGGGUCUGCAGUCGAUACGGGCUAGCUAGAGUGUGGUAGGGGAGAUCGGAAUUCCUGGUGUAGCGGUGAAAUGCGCAGAUAUCAGGAGGAACACCGGUGGCGAAGGCGGAUCCCUGGGCCAUUACUGACGCUGAGGAGCGAAAGCGUGGGGAGCGAACAGG
Molecule: ribosomal RNA, 253 nt
Filed under: uncultured bacterium
Lineage: Bacteria
Description: partial 16S ribosomal RNA
Rfam family: Bacterial small subunit ribosomal RNA
Source: RNAcentral